RNAcentral lists this ribosomal RNA (502 nucleotides) under uncultured bacterium. RNAcentral's name for it is "bacterial SSU rRNA". It matches the Rfam family "Bacterial small subunit ribosomal RNA", at positions 26 to 518 of the family's 1533-position model. The record is from RNAcentral.
AGGAUGAACGCUAGCUACAGGCUUAACACAUGCAAGUCGAGGGGCAGCAUGAUCUAAGCUUGCUAGAUGAUGGCGACCGGCGCACGGGUGAGUAACGCGUAUCCAACCUUCCCUGUAGUAGAGGAUAGCCCGGCGAAAGUCGGAUUAAUAUUCUAUGUUUUCCAAUGCAGACAUCUAAGUUGGAACAAAGGUUCACCGCUAUAGGAUGGGGAUGCGUCUGAUUAGAUAGUAGGCGGGGUAACGGCCCACCUAGUCGACGAUCAGUAGGGGUUCUGAGAGGAAGGUCCCCCACAUUGGAACUGAGACACGGUCCAAACUCCUACGGGAGGCAGCAGUGAGGAAUAUUGGUCAAUGGGCGAGAGCCUGAACCAGCCAAGUAAGCGUGCAGGAUGACGGCCCUAUGGGUUGUAAACUGCUUUUAUCGGGGGAUAAAGUGAGGGACGUGUCCCUUAUUGUAGGUACCCGAUGAAUAAGGACCGGCUAAUUCCGUGCCAGCCGCAGC